CUGCCUCUUUUACUUAUGUGUUGAAUUGUCGCUUGCCGAGCUUCUUUUCGGCCUUUGCGUCGUUCGGAGGUACCCGAUUGCCAUCGUAUCGAUCCAUCUUUUUCGUCCGUGGCCGCAGAUUUGUCUGGGACCACUCGGGUUUGGUGCCCCCCAUCAGGGCUCGAGCUCGAAGGUCUGAGCCUCCGUCACCCUGAAGAAGUCAUCUCAUCUCGGGCUUGCAUCGAAAGCUUCC
RNAcentral lists this long non-coding RNA (232 nucleotides) under Elaeis guineensis (African oil palm). RNAcentral's name for it is "long non-coding RNA (EGUI_LNC073230)". The record is from RNAcentral. Lineage: Eukaryota; Viridiplantae; Streptophyta; Magnoliopsida; Arecales; Arecaceae.